This 218-nucleotide long non-coding RNA is filed under the name Olea europaea (common olive). RNAcentral's name for it is "long non-coding RNA (OEUR_LNC004542)". The record is from RNAcentral. Lineage: Eukaryota; Viridiplantae; Streptophyta; Magnoliopsida; Lamiales; Oleaceae.
UUUUCAACUUUACUCAAAAUUCCAAUUCUCCUGCCGUGACGGUGCUACUGGUGGAGUAAUCCAAGGAAGAAGAAGAAGAUGUGCUUGGAGAAAAAAGGAAAAGGAUGAGGUGUUGUUGUUUAUUUAAUUAUUUCUCCCUUGCAUUUGUAGAAUUAUAUAUUUGUAAAAUCACAUAUCAUAUUUUUUUAACCUAUAAUUUUAUAAUUUGGCUCUUCUUU